RNAcentral lists this transfer RNA (73 nucleotides) under Ophiophagus hannah (king cobra). It matches the Rfam family "tRNA". From Rfam's summary of the family: Transfer RNA (tRNA) molecules are approximately 80 nucleotides in length. Their secondary structure includes four short double-helical elements and three loops (D, anti-codon, and T loops). Lineage: Eukaryota; Metazoa; Chordata; Lepidosauria; Squamata; Elapidae. The record is from Rfam by way of RNAcentral.
ACCAGUUUAGUCUAGUGGUUAAAGCAGCAGGCUAGAAACUAGUAAACUGUGAGUUUUAGUUUCGCAACUGGGA